This is a non-coding RNA of Lasiosphaeris hirsuta, 110 nucleotides long. The record is from the annotation of a GenBank genome assembly. Lineage: Eukaryota; Fungi; Ascomycota; Sordariomycetes; Sordariales; Lasiosphaeriaceae.
UCUUCCGUAGUAUAGUGGUCAGUAUAUGAGCUUGUCAUCAUGGUCUCUCCUCUUCACGAGGGAAGACAAGGACACCGCUCGGGACCCGGGUUCAAUUCCCGGCGGGAAAG